This 466-nucleotide ribosomal RNA is filed under the name uncultured ammonia-oxidizing beta proteobacterium. RNAcentral describes it as "bacterial SSU rRNA". It matches the Rfam family "Bacterial small subunit ribosomal RNA", at positions 198 to 645 of the family's 1533-position model. Lineage: Bacteria; Pseudomonadati; Pseudomonadota; Betaproteobacteria. The record is from RNAcentral.
GGAGGAAAGUAGGGGAUCGCAAGACCUCACGCUUUUGGAGCGGCCGAUGUCUGAUUAGCUUGUUGGUGAGGUAAAGGCUUACCAAGGCUUCGAUCAGUAGCUGGUCUGAGAGGACGACCAGCCACACUGGGACUGAGACACGGCCCAGACUCCUACGGGAGGCAGCAGUGGGGAAUUUUGGACAAUGGGGGAAACCCUGAUCCAGCCAUGCCGCGUGAGUGAAGAAGGCCUUCGGGUUGUAAAGCUCUUUCAGCCGGAACGAAACGGUUACGAUUAAUACCCGUAACUACUGACGGUACCGGAAGAAGAAGCACCGGCUAACUACGUGCCAGCAGCCGCGGUAAUACGUAGGGUGCGAGCGUUAAUCGGAAUUACUGGGCGUAAAGCGUGCGCAGGUGGUUUUGUAAGUCAGAUGUGAAAUCCCCGGGCUUAACCUGGGAACUGCGUUUGAAAUUACAAAGCUAGA